Molecule: signal recognition particle RNA, 297 nt
Filed under: Tigriopus californicus
Lineage: Eukaryota; Metazoa; Arthropoda; Copepoda; Harpacticoida; Harpacticidae
Description: metazoan signal recognition particle RNA
Rfam family: Metazoan signal recognition particle RNA
About the family: The signal recognition particle (SRP) is a universally conserved ribonucleoprotein.
Source: Rfam by way of RNAcentral
GCUGGGGUCUGUGACGAGCCCUGUAAUCCUGUGUCUGGGAGGCUGGUGUCUGAGGAUGGUUUGAGGUUGGGAAUCCAGCCAAACAUGGUUUCAUGUUGAACUGGUGUCCGCACUAAGCCUGGCGUCAAUAUGGACGCUCUUGGGGAGCCGAGAGUGGCCAGGUUGUCUGAGGAGGUGCGAAUCGGGCCAGGGGGGAAACCCAGCAGCUCAAAGUGCCCGCGGCGGGCAGUAGUGGGAUCGCGCCGGUGAGUGGAUCAUGUGUGGUUGCCAGAUCAAAACAAGCAAACCAGAUACCCU